This 412-nucleotide ribosomal RNA is filed under the name uncultured bacterium. RNAcentral describes it as "bacterial SSU rRNA". It matches the Rfam family "Bacterial small subunit ribosomal RNA", at positions 1 to 414 of the family's 1533-position model. The record is from RNAcentral.
UAUGAGUUUGAUCAUGGCUCAGAUUGAACGCUAGCGGGAAUGCCUUACACAUGCAAGUCGAACGGCAGCACGGACUUCGGUCUGGUGGCGAGUGGCGAACGGGUGAGUAAUGUAUCGGAACGUGCCCAGUAGCGGGGGAUAACUACGCGAAAGCGUAGCUAAUACCGCAUACGCCCUACGGGGGAAAGCAGGGGAUCGCAAGACCUUGCACUAUUGGAGCGGCCGAUAUCGGAUUAGCUAGUUGGUGGGGUAACGGCUCACCAAGGCGACGAUCCGUAGCUGGUUUGAGAGGACGACCAGCCACACUGGGACUGAGACACGGCCCAGACUCCUACGUGGGAAGNGGCCAUGGCCAGUGGGGAAUUUUGGACAAUGGGGGAAACCCUGAUCCCAUCCGUGUGAUAGUUUUGUU